This 254-nucleotide unclassified non-coding RNA is filed under the name Hevea brasiliensis (rubber tree). Lineage: Eukaryota; Viridiplantae; Streptophyta; Magnoliopsida; Malpighiales; Euphorbiaceae. The record is from RNAcentral.
CACACACUUCCAUUAAUAGCAUAACUCCAAAGCAGAUGGAGAAUGUUUUAAUUUGUGUCAAUUAUAUACAUAAUUUUUAACAUUGUUGUCAACUGUAGCCAAUCACCAAGGGCGUAUGGUAAAACUCCCCAAUUAGUAAUGAGGCAUAUAUUUGUAGAAAAAAGUUUCCAUUUUAGCAUCUGAUAUGACUCAAUCAAGUGUAAAGAAAAAUCUGAAUAUUUUCACCACGUACUCUCUUUACCCUUCCUCCUUCA